CAACUGAAUAUUUGCCAGAGGCAGACCUACUCCAAACCAAGCUGCUCCUCAACCGCUCCUCCAUAGAGUUGAAAUCUGCCUCCUGACUAUAUCCACUACUUCUUUCCUCCCACCUCCAGCAGCAAAGAGCAAAAAAGGUUGAGCCCAAAGUGUAAAACACGAGUGAACAUAUGGGAAGCACCCAUCGUACACUGAAUAAUGGUUCGGCACUCCUACACUUGUGCAAACAACUCAAAACUGUUGCUCUUGUAAGAGCCUUGCUGUAACCCUGCCUAGAGUGAUUCUGUGGCUCAGCUCG
This is a long non-coding RNA of Sarcophilus harrisii (Tasmanian devil), 298 nucleotides long. RefSeq lists it as uncharacterized. NCBI's taxonomy places the organism in Eukaryota, Metazoa, Chordata, Mammalia, Dasyuromorphia, Dasyuridae. The record is from RefSeq and is a predicted model, not a curated record. The transcript is spliced from 3 exons.